GGAGAAGUGGCAGAGUGGUCGAUUGCAACGGUCUUGAAAACCGUCGUACCGCAAGGUACCGGGGGUUCGAAUCCCUCCUUCUCCG
Molecule: transfer RNA, 85 nt
Filed under: Bacteroidales bacterium
Lineage: Bacteria; Pseudomonadati; Bacteroidota; Bacteroidia; Bacteroidales
Also listed under: 1 other name
Description: tRNA-Ser
Rfam family: tRNA
About the family: Transfer RNA (tRNA) molecules are approximately 80 nucleotides in length. Their secondary structure includes four short double-helical elements and three loops (D, anti-codon, and T loops).
Source: RNAcentral